AAGCGAAAAGGGGAUGUAAAUAUGACAACAGAACGACUGGUCAAUUGAAUGAAAAUGGCUUCCAAGGACAAACAGUGAAAUGCCUUGAAGUUUAUCCAAAAUGAGGCCAUCGGAGGUGAAGUCUAAAACUGGAUGUGUGAACUCAGGUAACUUUAAGGAUGCCUGCUGACUGAACCCAGACUGACUGUAAAGACAGAAUGAUAAAGCAGGCAGCCCCAUAAGAGAGAGGAGGGAGUGAGCGAGUCUCCACCUAAAGUGAUGGAGUCGUAUGUCAUUAAAACCGAAAAUAACUUUUAUUUAUAUUUUUAAUUUACAUUUUUUUGGAAGUGUACUGCAAUGUUCAUAAUUGUGAUGCAAUUGUAUUGGAAAGCUUGAAUG
This is a long non-coding RNA of Conger conger (European conger), 378 nucleotides long. RefSeq lists it as uncharacterized. The transcript is spliced from 3 exons. The record is from RefSeq and is a predicted model, not a curated record. Lineage: Eukaryota; Metazoa; Chordata; Actinopteri; Anguilliformes; Congridae.